UGGGGAAUAUUGCACAAUGGGCGCAAGCCUGAUGCAGCCAUGCCGCGUGUAUGAAGAAGGCCUUCGGGUUGUAAAGUACUUUCAGCGGGGAGGAAGGGAGUAAAGUUAAUACCUUUGCUCAUUGACGUUACCCGCAGAAGAAGCACCGGCUAACUCCGUGCCAGCAGCCGCGGUAAUACGGAGGGUGCAAGCGUUAAUCGGAAUUACUGGGCGUAAAGCGCACGCAGGCGGUUUGUUAAGUCAGAUGUGAAAUCCCCGGGCUCAACCUGGGGACUGCAUCUGUGACUGGCAAGCGUGAGUCUCGUCGAGGGGGGUAGAAUUCCCGGUGUAGCGGUGAAAUGCGUAGAGAUCUGGAGGAAUACCGGUGGCGAAGGCGGCCCCCUGGACGAAGACUGACGCUCAGGUGCGAAAGCGUGGGGAGCAAACAGG
This 429-nucleotide ribosomal RNA is filed under the name Chloroflexota bacterium. RNAcentral's name for it is "Chloroflexi bacterium partial 16S ribosomal RNA". It matches the Rfam family "Bacterial small subunit ribosomal RNA", at positions 355 to 776 of the family's 1533-position model. The record is from RNAcentral. Lineage: Bacteria; Bacillati; Chloroflexota.